AAAGUUUGACAGACAAUCGCCGGUGGUGUGAGAACGCCACGGGAGGAAAGUCCGGGCUCCAAAAGGCAGGGUGCUGGAUAACAUCCAGUCGGCGCGAGCCGAAGGAAAGUGCCACAGAAAUGGACCGCCGAUGGCCGCUCUUUAGGGAGCGGCACAGGCAAGGAUGGAACCGAGGUGUAAGAGACCCCGAGGAACGCUGGUGACUUCGUUCCUGGUAAACCCCAUCUGGAGCAAGACCUAAUGAGACGCCGCUGAUCCUUCACAGGAAGAGGCAGCCUUCGCCUGAGGCGCGUCUAGGUUGGUCGCUGGAGCUGUGCAGUAAUGUACGGCCUAGAUAGAUGAUUGUCGCUUAUGGUGGGAGGGUAGUUCCCGUUUGAACCACGACGAGCACAGAACCCGGCUUACGACAAACUUUCCUA
This is a non-coding RNA of Paenibacillus wynnii, 419 nucleotides long. It matches the Rfam family "Bacterial RNase P class A". Rfam says of the family: Ribonuclease P (RNase P) is a ubiquitous endoribonuclease, found in archaea, bacteria and eukarya as well as chloroplasts and mitochondria. Its best characterised activity is the generation of mature 5'-ends of tRNAs by cleaving the 5'-leader elements of precursor-tRNAs. The record is from Rfam. NCBI's taxonomy places the organism in Bacteria, Bacillati, Bacillota, Bacilli, Caryophanales, Paenibacillaceae.